GCCCAGACUCCUACGGGAGGCAGCAGUGGGGAAUAUUGCACAAUGGGGGAAACCCUGAUGCAGCGACGCCGCGUGAGCGAUGAAGUAUUUCGGUAUGUAAAGCUCUAUCAGCAGGGAAGAAGAUGACGGUACCUGACUAAGAAGCCCCGGCUAACUACGUGCCAGCAGCCGCGGUAAUACGUAGGGGGCAAGCGUUAUCCGGAUUUACUGGGUGUAAAGGGAGCGUAGACGGCGAUGCAAGCCAGAUGUGAAAGCCCGGGGCUCAACCCCGGGACUGCAUUUGGAACUGUGUGGCUGGAGUGUCGGAGAGGCAGGCGGAAUUCCUAGUGUAGCGGUGAAAUGCGUAGAUAUUAGGAGGAACACCAGUGGCGAAGGCGGCCUGCUGGACGAUGACUGACGUUGAGGCUCGAAAGCGUGGGGAGCAAACAGGAUUAGAUACCCCUGUAA
Molecule: ribosomal RNA, 447 nt
Filed under: uncultured bacterium
Lineage: Bacteria
Description: bacterial SSU rRNA
Rfam family: Bacterial small subunit ribosomal RNA
Source: RNAcentral